RNAcentral lists this unclassified non-coding RNA (240 nucleotides) under soil metagenome. RNAcentral's name for it is "partial contains 5.8S ribosomal RNA, internal transcribed spacer 2, and large subunit ribosomal RNA". The record is from RNAcentral.
AACGGUCUAUACCUGCGGUACCUGCGGAAGGAUCAUUACCGAGUUAUCAACUCCCAAACCCCUGUGAACAUACCCGAACGUUGCCUCGGCGGGACCGCCCCGGCGCCCCUAGCGGCCCGGAACCAGGCGCCCGCCGGAGGACCCAAACUCUUGCUUUAAACAGUGGCAUACUCUCUGAGUCUCACAAACAAAAAAUAAAUCAAAACUUUCAGCAACGGAUCUCUAGAUCGGAAGAGCACA